Molecule: ribosomal RNA, 1838 nt
Filed under: Oedemeridae sp. UPOL ZL0191
Lineage: Eukaryota; Metazoa; Arthropoda; Insecta; Coleoptera; Oedemeridae
Description: SSU rRNA
Rfam family: Eukaryotic small subunit ribosomal RNA
Source: RNAcentral
UUGUCUCAAAGAUUAAGCCAUGCAUGUCUCAGUACAAGCCAAAUUAAGGUGAAACCGCGAAAGGCUCAUUAAAUCAGUUAUGGUUCCUUAGAUCGUACUUUAGUUACAUGGAUAACUGUGGUAAUUCUAGAGCUAAUACAUGCUAACAGAGUUCCGACCAGAAACGGAAGGAAUGCUUUUAUUAGAUCAAAACCAAUCGGUGUCGUCUUCGGACGUCAUCGUACAAUAUGGUGAAUCUGAAUAACUUUAAGCUGAUCGCACGGUCUCGCACCGGCGACGCAUCUUUCAAAUGUCUGCCUUAUCAACUGUCGAUGGUAGGUUCUGCGCCUACCAUGGUUGUAACGGGUAACGGGGAAUCAGGGUUCGAUUCCGGAGAGGGAGCCUGAGAAACGGCUACCACAUCCAAGGAAGGCAGCAGGCGCGCAAAUUACCCACUCCCGGCACGGGGAGGUAGUGACGAAAAAUAACGAUACGGGACUCAUCCGAGGCCCCGUAAUCGGAAUGAGUACACUCUAAACCCUUUAACGAGGAUCAAUUGGAGGGCAAGUCUGGUGCCAGCAGCCGCGGUAAUUCCAGCUCCAAUAGCGUAUAUUAAAGUUGUUGCGGUUAAAAAGCUCGUAGUCGAACUUGUGUCUCGCGCCGUCGGUUCAUCGUUCGCGGUGUUAACUGGCGUGCCGAGAGACGUCCUGCCGGUGGGUUUAGCUCGCAAGGGCGGCCCAACUCAAUCCUGCCGCGGUGCUCUUCAUUGAGUGUCGAGGUGGGCCGGCACGUUUACUUUGAACAAAUUAGAGUGCUUAAAGCAGGCUAAAAUUUUGCCUGAAUAUUAGUGCAUGGAAUAAUGGAAUAGGACCUCGGUUCUAUUUUGUUGGUUUUCGGAACCCCGAGGUAAUGAUUAAUAGGAACGGAUGGGGGCAUUCGUAUUGCGACGUUAGAGGUGAAAUUCUUGGACCGUCGCAAGACGGACAGAAGCGAAAGCAUUUGCCAAAAACGUUUUCAUUGAUCAAGAACGAAAGUUAGAGGUUCGAAGGCGAUCAGAUACCGCCCUAGUUCUAACCAUAAACGAUGCCAGCUAGCGAUCCGCCGACGUUCCUCCGAUGACUCGGCGGGCAGCUUCCGGGAAACCAAAGCUUUUGGGUUCCGGGGGAAGUAUGGUUGCAAAGCUGAAACUUAAAGGAAUUGACGGAAGGGCACCACCAGGAGUGGAGCCUGCGGCUUAAUUUGACUCAACACGGGAAACCUCACCAGGCCCGGACACUGGAAGGAUUGACAGAUUGAGAGCUCUUUCUUGAUUCGGUGGGUGGUGGUGCAUGGCCGUUCUUAGUUGGUGGAGCGAUUUGUCUGGUUAAUUCCGAUAACGAACGAGACUCUAGCCUGCUAAAUAGGCGUAUUUCGACAUCUUAAAGUCCCGUCUGUACCGGGUUUACACCCGUGUAUUGUACGUGGUUCUUACUGUCGGCGUACAAAUAAUUCUUCUUAGAGGGACAGGCGGCUUCUAGCCGCACGAGAUUGAGCAAUAACAGGUCUGUGAUGCCCUUAGAUGUUCUGGGCCGCACGCGCGCUACACUGAAGGAAUCAGCGUGUUUUGUCCCUGGCCGAACGGCCCGGGUAACCCGCUGAACCUCCUUCGUGCUAGGGAUUGGGGCUUGCAAUUGUUCCCCAUGAACGAGGAAUUCCCAGUAAGCGCGAGUCAUAAGCUCGUGUUGAUUACGUCCCUGCCCUUUGUACACACCGCCCGUCGCUACUACCGAUUGAAUGAUUUAGUGAGGUCUUCGGACUGGUACGCGAUGGCGUUUCGGCGUUAUCGAUGUUGCUGGGAAGAUGACCAAACUUGAUCAUUU